AGAGUUUGAUCCUGGCUCAGGAUGAACGCUGGCGGCGUGCUUAACACAUGCAAGUCGAACGAUGACUUUUGUGCUUGCACAAAAUGAUUAGUGGCGAACGGGUGAGUAACACGUGAGUAACCUGCCCUUAACUUCGGGAUAAGCCUGGGAAACCGGGUCUAAUACCGGAUACGACGGACCGCCGCAUGGUGGUCCGUGGAAAGCUUUAUGCGGUUUUGGAUGGACUCGCGGCCUAUCAGCUAGUUGGUUGGGGUAACGGCCCACCAAGGCGACGACGGGUAGCCGGCCUGAGAGGGUGACCGGCCACACUGGGACUGAGACACGGCCCAGACUCCUACGGGAGGCAGCAGUGGGGAAUAUUGCACAAUGGGCGAAAGCCUGAUGCAGCGACGCCGCGUGAGGGACGAAGGCCUUCGGGUUGUAAACCUCUUUCAGCAGGGAAGAAGCGAAAGUGACGGUACCUGCAGAAGAAGCGCCGGCUAACUACGUGCCAGCAGCCGCGGUAAUACGUAGGGCGCAAGCGUUAUCCGGAAUUAUUGGGCGUAAAGAGCUCGUAGGCGGUUUGUCGCGUCUGCUGUGAAAGCCCGGGGCUCAACCCCGGGUCUGCAGUGGGUACGGGCAGACUAGAGUGCAGUAGGGGAGACUGGAAUUCCUGGUGUAGCGGUGAAAUGCGCAGAUAUCAGGAGGAACACCGAUGGCGAAGGCAGGUCUCUGGGCUGUAACUGACGCUGAGGAGCGAAAGCAUGGGGAGCGAACAGGAUUAGAUACCCUGGUAGUCCACGCUGUAAACGAUGAUGACUAACCGUCGGCGAUACACAGUCGGUGGCCAAGCGAAAGCGAUAAGUCAUCCACCUGGGGAGUACGACCGCAAGGUUGAAACUCAAAGGAAUUGACGGGGGCCCGCACAAGCGGAGGAACAUGUGGUUUAAUUCGAUGAUACGCGAGGAACCUUACCCGGGCUCGAACGGCAGCUGAAUCAUUCAGAGAUGGAUGAGUCUUCGGACAGUUGUCGAGGUGCUGCAUGGUUGUCGUCAGCUCGUGCCGUGAGGUGUCGGCUUAAGUGCCAUAACGAGCGCAACCCUUUUCGGUAUUUACCAUCAUUAAGUUGGGGACUCUACCGAUACUGCCAUCGCAAGAUGAGAGGAAGGAUGGGAUGACGUCAAAUCAGCACGGCCCUUACGUCCGGGGCGACACACGUGUUACAAUGGGUAGGACAGCGGGUUACGACAUGGUGACAUGAAGUUAAUCCCAAAACCUGCUCCCAGUUCGGAUUGGAGUCUGCAACUCGACUCCAUGAAGUUGGAGUCGCUAGUAAUCGCAGAUCAGCAACGCUGCGGUGAAUACGUUCCCGGGCCUUGCACACACCGCCCGUCAAG
Molecule: ribosomal RNA, 1376 nt
Filed under: uncultured bacterium
Lineage: Bacteria
Description: partial 16S ribosomal RNA
Rfam family: Bacterial small subunit ribosomal RNA
Source: RNAcentral